RNAcentral lists this long non-coding RNA (895 nucleotides) under Anser brachyrhynchus (Pink-footed goose). RNAcentral describes it as "lncRNA (ENSABRG00000010787.1)". Lineage: Eukaryota; Metazoa; Chordata; Aves; Anseriformes; Anatidae. The record is from RNAcentral.
CUCUGGGGCUGUGAGGCUGUGCUGCUGGUAGUGGUUUUGCUCCAGCUGCAGUGGCUGGGUUAAAUGCUGAACCUGCUAGGGUAGGUGUUCGCACCUGUGUAGGGCUUGGAGGUCAGGGCCAGCAGGAGUCCUGGCUGGGCACAAUAUGGGUGGUUGUGGGGAGGGGAGGUGGUGUGGGCAUCUCCUUCCUGCAGGCCUGGGGAGAUAAGGUCAGUUGAAAAGCUGGUCCUGUUCUCCAAGGAUAAGGAGGUGCUGCCUAGUGCUCAGAGUCUACACUGAAGUCUACAUCCAGGAGCUUCUGGCAGUUUGUGCAUUGCUGGGCAGUGAAGUUCGGUCUUCUGGUGAGCGGUGUAUCCAACUCUUGCAGGAAUGGUUGUAAAAAUUAGUUGCUCAGUUUUAAGUUCUUUUCUGUGAUUGAGGGCAUGAACUAUGCAAAUGUUCAUGGCAUUCAUCCAUGAUGAGCUCAGUAACACUAGCCAGAGGGACACAGGGGCUGUGUGAUGAGUUUAGAAAGAUAUGUGCCUGGGAACAGGCGAAAGCUGCUCAGGGUAUUUGUGUCCCAACAUCCUGGGUCCAUUACCUCCUGCGUUGUGUGAUUCCUCAGAUGCAGUUGCUCCUUAAGGUUUCAGAAAUGGAACAGAAACAACAAUAUCAUUCUGGUGUAUCGCUGCAAAGCUUACAGAUGCGUGUUGAACAAAAGUCUGAACAUGGAGCCAUGGCUGUAUGAGGAAGCUUGGUCUGCUGCAAGAUAGAGAAGAGCAAAUGUUGUGUUUGGCCACAGGAUGGGUUAUCAGUGCAUCACUGGCUUGUUCAAGCUUGUAAACUGAUAUUAUAUGUAAGUUUGUGUGGGUGAAUAAGGAAUAAAAGGAAGCAAACACUUAGGAUGAAGUUGGGU